CUGCUCUAGUGAGUGUGGGGCGGGAGCUUGUUGCUGAGGGCGGAUGGCGUGUACUUUACUUUUCUGUUAUCCCCAGCGCCUAAGGGGCCGGUGACCUUCGAUGAUGUGGACGUGGGCUUCGGAAACGAAGAGUGGAAUCGCCUGGACUGCACCCAGAAGGCUCUUUACACGGACUGAUGCUAAAGAAUUAAGGGAAACACCAGCGCGCUGAGAAUCUCUCUAUACCCAGCGUGGACCUCUCAAAAUUUCAAGAUCAGAGUUGCACGCGCCACCAACUGAGCCAGCCAGACGCCCCCAACACUGGAAUCCCUUUCUUACCACAGCCUAAUCUGAUCAUCUUCCUAGAACAAAGGGAAGCGCAGCGGGGACCAGGUCUGCCGGCCACUGAGGGACGGAGGACUUCAUUUGCACCAGUGAGUGAGGGGGGCCAUUCGCUCCCUCCUUGUUGUGACCCCUGCCUCGUGCCUUUUGAAACAUGGCUGCACCCAAGGCAGAACAUGGAUCUAGGGGAUUCCUCAUUUUCUCUUGGUCUCUUAGCCGCCGGGUGGAAAUCUGAUGGGCACAGGAAUACCCGGCACACAUUCCUUUCUGGGGCUGGCCAUCAGCACCCAGAGGACGACGGCUGAUGCCAUGCCUCUGCCUGGUCUGUCUGUGACGACACUGAGGACCUCUGCCCUCAGCCAUUCCCCUUUGCCUGCUUCUUUGUUUUCUCACCCCUUACAUUCAAGGGGUUGACUUCAUCUUCAUACAUUGGCUGACUUUCCUAUUUAUUCCCUAGGUGUUUUGUUCUGUCCUUUGUCCCUUCCCUCUUAUGCUCUGUGUUUACCAGUCCACUCGGCCUUCUUUGCUGGCUCCUGUCCCUGUUCAAGCCCCCUUCCCUACCUUACUGUGAAGGGGUGGGAGGGUAAAUGCUGCACACUCCCAUUCUCUCUCUCUCUCUCUUUUUUUUUAAAUGUUCAUUUUUGAGACCGAGACAGAACAUGAACAGGGAAGGGGCAGAGAGAGAGAGGGAGACACAGAAUCCAAAGCAGGCUGCAGGCUCUGAGCUGUCAGCACAGAACCCAAUGAGGGGCUCGAACUCACGAGCUGUGAGAUCACGACCUGAGCCAAAGUUAGAUGCUUAACUGACUGAGCCACCCAGGUGCCCCUCCUAUUCUCUCUUUGAUUGUUCUGUUCUCGGGUUGGUUUUUGCUCACAGUGGCUAUCAGGUCAUGCCAUGUUUUUAUUUGUCAGAUGGUAAGAGCAGAGCCAAGAAGGUGGAGUCAGCAGUAAAGCAGGGUCUUUCUGACCACACUGAGUAUGGAGGGAAGGUGUGGGGAAAACUCCCAAAGGCUGGGCCCCAGAGAUCCAAUUUGGUAGACUUUCCUAGAGUCUCUAAGACCAGAGGUCUUAGAAGAAAAGAUCCUUCAAGUAUGGUGAGUGCAGUUAGAGAUCCACUGGGAAGUCACAACUUACUGCGUAUCAGAAAAUGUAGUGGAGAGAGGUUUGCACUGUCCCGUUCUGCAGCCCAGAGGAACUGCACUGGCAAGAGAGUGCGAUCGAUAUACAGAGUAUGAGAAAGCACCGAAAAGCAAUAAGAUUCUUGUGUAUCAGUGUGCCCACACCAGAGAGAGCCCACUCCUGCAGCAAGUGUGGGAAAUUGUGUGUCCAGGGCUGUGACUGUCCGCAGCAGAUAGAAGGCAGGUGAAUGUAAGCAAUGUGGCAAGACCUUCAGCUCUAGUUCCCAGCUUCCGACACAUGGGAAGAAGUGUCCUGAGAGCUGAGGGUGGAGAGAUAGCACCAGGAAUCACCAGGAACCAAUCACUCAAGCUGCUCAUUAGUUCUUCGUAAUAGACAAGGCUCCAAGCGUGGAAGAACCUUCGAAGACAACGAGGCCCCUUUUCCCUUUCUUCCUGAUUAGAAGGAGUAUAUGUAUAUCUGUAAGGAGUGCAGAGAGGCCUUUCCUCAGGAGGCUGCUUUUUGUUGUUGAUUACACAGUCCACACUAGAGAAAAGCUGCGUAAGAUGUAAAGCAAUAGGUUAUACCACAUUACGUAUCAGAGAGUUCACACCCCUAGUAGGCUAUAUGUGUGCAACAAGGGUGGGAGAGCUUUUAUGUAUUACAUAAUUACUGUGCGCUGUAGAGUUGACACUGGAGAGAAGCCCCACAAACAUCAGAGCUCCCAAAGCUUGGUGCCUCUGAGUAGUCUCUGGGGAAAAGCCUUUUACAUGUGGCCAUUGUGGGAAGGCCUUCAGAAAUCAGCCCCAUGUCAUCACCCAUCAGACUAUUCAGACUGCAGAGAAGCCUUAAGAGUGCCAGAGGUGUGAAAAAGCCAAAAUGAAUCUAAGGGCCUAUCAAAGAGUCCACACAGGAGAAAAACCUGGGAGUAUCGCGAAUGUGGGAAGGCCUUUAUGAGGAAUACCAACCUUAUUGAUCAUUAAAGACUCCACUUUGGGAAGAGGCAUUGACUGGGAGGGAGGAAGGAAGAAAGGUUGUUGAUAAUCAUGAGGACCAUCAACGUAGUAGGUUUCAUACAAUUUCCAAUCCCAUGAGUGUGAUGAGUGGGAAAGCAGAAAAGAUCACACCUGACUACCCCAGAAUGGACGCAGGAGACAGAUUGUGCAAGCACGCUAAGGAGGGGAGACCUUCGCUGUGGCUAAUUCCGGAGCAUGGGUGGCCACGCUGUUUUUGUAAAGGGCCAGAGAGUAAAUAUGUUGGGCUCAUGAGCUCUAUGGUUUCUGUCGUAGCUACUCAGCUCUGCUGUUGGGGCACAAAAGCAGCUAGACGGUACGUACACAAAUGAAUGUGGCUGUAUUCCAGGAAGAUUUUCUUUACAAAAACAGAGAGCUGACCAGAUCUGGCCCAUAGGUCCUACUUUGCCAACCCCUGUUCUAGAGAGAAAAACCUCUUAAGAAGCCUUAAUAAUCAGAGGGUGGGGUCACAGACUGGAUUCCUUCUGCAGAGGAAUCUUGGAACAGCAUGACCAUGGAACAGAACCUUCAGGGGAUACUCCAGCCUUGUGAGAGGGUCAACAGGAGAGGCAUGAAAGAUCCAGAAACCUGCGUUCUGCCACAGAAUAGCUGAAGGACUAGCGCCCAGUCACCUAAGAGCCACAAGCCUUUUUUUUUUUUUUUUAACGUUUGUUUAUUUUUGAGAGAGAACAUGCCAGUGGGGGACGGGCAGAGAGGGAGACAGAGGAUCUGAAGCAGGCUCUGCGUUGACAGAGAGCCUGAUGCAGGGCUUGAACUUGUGAAGUGCGAGGUCAUGACCUGAGCUGAAGUUGGAUGUUGAGUCACCCAGGAGCCCCAGGAGCCACAGGGCUUUUAUGAGAAGAGCAAGAGAGUAUAUCUGAAAGUGCUUUCAAAGUGAGUGUGGUAAACACAUUUAUUACAUUUGUUAAAUUUUUUUUUUUUUUUUUUUUUUUUUAAGUAAGCUCUACACCCACCACGGGGCUCAAACUCACCACCCUGAGAUCAAGAGUCGCACACUCUGCUGACUGAGCCAGAGCCAGCCAGGUGCCCCAGUAUGAAAGACAUCCCUGAGUAAAUUGUGUUCCCUAUUUCAACUCAUCCUAUUCCUGUGUCAUCCGCCUGCGAGUGUAGCUCUACAAUGGUAAGGACUGGCCCAGCAUUCCUAACUCUGACUGAAUAAACUGGAGAGGGGGAGGCAGAGCGUCUGGCUCCCACAUCUCCUGGGGAGGGCUUUGUCCUGAGCAGUUGCCUGGUGACAUCCAGGGGCACCGCCACCGCUCACCGCCUGUGGGAGCUGCUCUGUGCACAGCCACCAGGAGUAGGGUGUGCAGCGUGGGGGUGGGGUCCCUUGAAGUCACUCACUGAGGGUGGAGGGGGUGCCGCCCUCCCCCUGCACCUUUGCCUCUCCAGCGGCCUCUUUUGUCACUGUUGCCAUUGCCUCCCACUUCCAGCUCUUCCUGUCCCAUGUCCUUAUUCCCACACUGCAGAAUGCCACAUUGAUGUGUUUCCUUUGAGUCCCUCUACCCCCCCCCCCCCCCGCAAUGUUCCCCUGUCUUUUGGACAACCCUAGCUGAGAAAACACGGUGGGGCGAGAGGUGUGCUACCCCCAGCACUGGCCUGAGGCCCUGCUCCCCAUCCUUCGCCAGGCAGAAGUA
Molecule: long non-coding RNA, 4105 nt
Organism: Acinonyx jubatus (cheetah)
Lineage: Eukaryota; Metazoa; Chordata; Mammalia; Carnivora; Felidae
Exons: 5
Source: RefSeq, a predicted model, not a curated record